UACGGAGGGUGCAAGCGUUGUUCGGAAUCACUGGGCGUAAAGCGCAUGUAGGCGGCCGAUUGUGUCGUGUGUGAAAUCCCUCGGCUCAACCGAGGAAGUGCGCACGAAACUGGUCGGCUUGAGUACGGGAGAGGAGGGUGGAAUUCCCGGUGUAGAGGUGAAAUUCGUAGAUAUCGGGAGGAACACCAGUGGCGAAGGCGACCCUCUGGACCGAUACUGACGCUGAGAUGCGAAAGCGUGGGGAGCAAACAGG
This 253-nucleotide ribosomal RNA is filed under the name uncultured bacterium. Its description in RNAcentral is "partial 16S ribosomal RNA". It matches the Rfam family "Bacterial small subunit ribosomal RNA", at positions 524 to 776 of the family's 1533-position model. The record is from RNAcentral.